This 482-nucleotide ribosomal RNA is filed under the name uncultured bacterium. Its description in RNAcentral is "partial 16S ribosomal RNA". It matches the Rfam family "Bacterial small subunit ribosomal RNA", at positions 30 to 507 of the family's 1533-position model. The record is from RNAcentral.
AUUGAACGCUGGCGGCAUGCCUUACACAUGCAAGUCGAACGGUAACGGGCCUUCGGGUGCCGACGAGUGGCGAACGGGUGAGUAAUACAUCGGAACGUGCCCGAUCGUGGGGGAUAACGAGGCGAAAGCUUUGCUAAUACCGCAUACGAUCUACGGAUGAAAGCAGGGGACCGCAAGGCCUUGCGCGGACGGACCGGCCGAUGGCAGAUUAGGUAGUUGGUGGGAUAAAAGCUUACCAAGCCGACGAUCUGUAGCUGGUCUGAGAGGAUGAUCAGCCACACUGGGACUGAGACACGGCCCAGACUCCUACGGGAGGCAGCAGUGGGGAAUUUUGGACAAAGGGCGCAAGCCUGAUCCAGCCAUGCCGCGUGCAGGAUGAAGGCCUUCGGGUUGUAAACUGCUUUUGUACGGAACGAAAAGCCUUCUUUUAAUACAGGAGGGUCAUGACGGUACCGUAAGAAUAAGCACCGGCUAACUACGUG